Molecule: ribosomal RNA, 407 nt
Filed under: uncultured bacterium
Lineage: Bacteria
Description: partial 16S ribosomal RNA
Rfam family: Bacterial small subunit ribosomal RNA
Source: RNAcentral
AUUGAACGCUAGCGGGAGGCCUUACACAUGCAAGUCGAACGGAGUGGCGAACGGGUGAGUAAUGUAUCGGAACGUGCCCAGUAGUGGGGGAUAACUACGCGAAAGGGUAGCUAAUACCGCAUACUAUUGGAGCGGCCUAUAUCGGAUUAGCUAGUUGGUGGGGUAAGGGCUAACCAAGGCGACGAUCCGUAGCUGGUUUGAGAGGAAGAACAGCCACACUGGAACUGAGACACGGCCCAGACUCCUACGGGAGGCAGCAGUGGGGAAUAUUGGACAAUGGGCGAAACCCUGAUCCAGCCAUCCCGCGUGUGCGAUGAAGGCCUUCGGGUUGUAAAGCACUUUUGGCAGGGAGGCGUUACCUGCAGAAUAAGCACCGGCUAACUUCGUGCCAGCAGCCGCGGUAAUAC